AGGUGAUUAGUAUAAAAAAAAUACUUGAUUUCGGCUCAAGAGCUUGUGGUGAAAACCCACAAUCACCUG
This 69-nucleotide transfer RNA is filed under the name Albatrossia pectoralis (giant grenadier). Its description in RNAcentral is "tRNA-Arg". It matches the Rfam family "tRNA". From Rfam's summary of the family: Transfer RNA (tRNA) molecules are approximately 80 nucleotides in length. Their secondary structure includes four short double-helical elements and three loops (D, anti-codon, and T loops). Further hydrogen bonds mediate the characteristic L-shaped molecular structure. tRNAs have two regions of fundamental functional importance: the anti-codon, which is responsible for specific mRNA codon recognition, and the 3' end, to which the tRNAs corresponding amino acid is attached (by aminoacyl-tRNA synthetases). tRNAs cope with the degeneracy of the genetic code in two manners: having more than one tRNA (with a specific anti-codon) for a particular amino acid; and 'wobble' base-pairing, i.e. permitting non-standard base-pairing at the 3rd anti-codon position. Lineage: Eukaryota; Metazoa; Chordata; Actinopteri; Gadiformes; Macrouridae. The record is from RNAcentral.